RNAcentral lists this ribosomal RNA (730 nucleotides) under Streptococcus dysgalactiae subsp. equisimilis. RNAcentral describes it as "bacterial LSU rRNA". It matches the Rfam family "Bacterial large subunit ribosomal RNA", at positions 1202 to 1947 of the family's 2925-position model. Lineage: Bacteria; Bacillati; Bacillota; Bacilli; Lactobacillales; Streptococcaceae. The record is from RNAcentral.
GUGGAUGACACGUUAGUGUCAUGGUAGGAGAGCGUUCUAUGUGUGAAGAAGGUGUACCGUGAGGAGCGCUGGAACGCAUAGAAGUGAGAAUGCCGGUAUGAGUAGCGAAAGACAGGUGAGAAUCCUGUCCACCGUAAGACUAAGGUUUCCAGGGGAAGGCUCGUCCGCCCUGGGUUAGUCGGGACCUAAGGAGAGACCGAAAGGUGUAUCCGAUGGCCAACAGGUUGAUAUUCCUGUACUAGAGUAUAAAGUGAUGGAGGGACGCAGUAGGCUAACUAAAGCAGGCGAUUGGAAGAGCCUGUCUAAACAGUGAGGUGUAAGAUGAGUCAAAUGCUUAUCUUUAUAACAUUGAGCUGUGAUGGGGAGCGAAGUUAAGUAGCGAAGUUAGUGACGUCACACUGCCAAGAAAAGCUUCUAGCGUUUAAUUAUACUCUACCCGUACCGCAAACCGACACAGGUAGUCGAGGCGAGUAGCCUCAGGUGAUCGAGAGAACUCUCGUUAAGGAACUCGGCAAAAUGACCCCGUAACUUCGGGAGAAGGGGUGCUGACUUAGGUCAGCCGCAGUGAAUAGGCCCAAGCAACUGUUUAUCAAAAACACAGCUCUCUGCUAAAUCGUAAGAUGAUGUAUAGGGGGUGACGCCUGCCCGGUGCUGGAAGGUUAAGAGGAGGGUUUAGCGUAAGCGAAGAUCUGAAUUGAAGCCCCAGUAAACGGCGGCCGUAACUAUAACG